RNAcentral lists this ribosomal RNA (447 nucleotides) under uncultured bacterium. Its description in RNAcentral is "partial 16S ribosomal RNA". It matches the Rfam family "Bacterial small subunit ribosomal RNA", at positions 329 to 792 of the family's 1533-position model. The record is from RNAcentral.
GACCAGACUCCUACGGGAGGCAGCAGUGGGGAAUAUUGCACAAUGGGGGAAACCCUGAUGCAGCGACGCCGUGUGAAGGAAGAAGUAUCUCGGUAUGUAAACUUCUAUCAGCAGGGAAGAAAACAGACGGUACCUGACUAAGAAGCCCCGGCUAACUACGUGCCAGCAGCCGCGGUAAUACGUAUGGAGCAAGCGUUAUCCGGAUUUACUGGGUGUAAAGGGAGCGCAGGCGGCCUUGCAAGUCUGAUGAGAAAGGCCGGGGCCCAACCCCGGGACUGCAUUGGAAACUGCGAGGCUGGAGUGUCGGAGAGGCAGGCGGAAUUCCUAGUGUAGCGGUGAAAUGCGUAGAUAUUAGGAGGAACACCAGUGGCGAAGGCGGCCUGCUGGACGAUGACUGACGCUGAGGCUCGAAAGCGUGGGGAGCAAACAGGAUUAGAUACCCGUGUA